UGUCUUGGGCUGCACACGUGCUACAAUGGCCGGUACAAUGAGCUGCGAUGCCGCGAGGCGGAGCGAAUCUCAAAAAGCCGGUCUCAGUUCGGAUUGGGGUCUGCAACUCGACCCCAUGAAGUCGGAGUUGCUAGUAAUCGCAGAUCAGCAUUGCUGCGGUGAAUACGUUCCCGGGCCUUGUACACACCGCCCGUCACGUCACGAAAGUCGGUAACACCCGAAGCCGGUGGCCCAACCCCUUGUGGGAGGGAGCUGUCGAAGGUGGGACUGGCGAUUGGGACGAAGUCGUAACAAGGUAGCUGUACCGGAAGGUGCGGCUGGAUCACCUCCUUUCUAAGGAGCACUUCUUACCAGGCUUCGGUUUGGUCAGAGGCCAGUACACCGGCGAAUGUUCGGUGCUGGUUGCUCAUGGGUGGAACGUUGACUAUUCGGCACGACAGGUUGAUCACUGCUAGUACUGCUUCGGCGUGGAACGUGGUGAGGGAUCGGUCGUGUCGGGCACGUUGUUGGGUGUCUGAGGGUACGGCCGAUGAGGCUGCCUUCUGAUCCGGCCCCAGUGAACUCAUCCGGUUUCGGGUGGGGUGGUGGGUGGCUGGUCGUUGUUUGAGAACUGCACAGUGGACGCGAGCAUCUGUGGCCAAGUUUUUAAGGGCGC
Molecule: small RNA, 655 nt
Filed under: Streptomyces griseus
Lineage: Bacteria; Bacillati; Actinomycetota; Actinomycetes; Kitasatosporales; Streptomycetaceae
Description: bacterial SSU rRNA
Rfam family: Bacterial small subunit ribosomal RNA (bases 1-333)
Source: RNAcentral